AUAGCGCAAGAGCCUCUUAGGAGGUCGACGAGGAGAAGGGUUGUCGAAAUAUCAGCGGAUGCCCUUCCGGCUGUCCAGGUCGUCAUAAGAAGUACAAAGAUUUCUGGUAACAGAAAGGACAAAGAU
This 126-nucleotide non-coding RNA is filed under the name uncultured Veillonella sp. RNAcentral's name for it is "glmS glucosamine-6-phosphate activated ribozyme". It matches the Rfam family "glmS glucosamine-6-phosphate activated ribozyme aptamer", at positions 10 to 151 of the family's 167-position model. From Rfam's summary of the family: This entry contains a glucosamine-6-phosphate activated ribozyme that is found in the mRNA for GlmS. GlmS is an enzyme that uses fructose-6-phosphate and glutamine to generate glucosamine-6-phosphate. The record is from RNAcentral. Lineage: Bacteria; Bacillati; Bacillota; Negativicutes; Veillonellales; Veillonellaceae.